UUCACAAACGUUUGCUCUGGUAAUUGAUUUCAGUUAAUUUUCAAAUUUCCGAUCGAUUUUCUUAGUUUUUUCUCGACUUCUCGCCGGAAUUGAGUGUGUUUGCUCCCAAUUCUAUGAUUAGAAGUAAAUUUCAAGUGAAAAUUGCUUCAGAAGUGACUAAAUCGAAGUUCUAAUGGAGCGAUGAGAUUUAUGUGCAAUGAUUGCUCAGGGAAUCAAUGCGGGAGAUGUUGAAGAUUCAGGACACAAGGAUCUACAUCUGGCAACUGCACCAAGAAGGUACGGUAGAAAUGAAUUACGAGCUCUUGCCAUUAAUCUUCUAUGUCCAGUUUUCUAUUUCUGUGUACUUGUGGACUGCUUUAUACAAAUUUGAGUUAUAUAUAUGAGAUAUUUCAUUGUAGAUUUCCUUACUAUAAACAAGAACAGUCAAAUCGAAGAGUGGUUAUUUAAGGUUUAAGGAGGGAUUUUAAAUUAGAUCAAAGGAGUUGAAUGCAAUAUAUACACUUAAAAUUUAAGGAGGGAUUUUAAAUUAGAUCAAAUGGUGGAGCCAUCAGAGGGUCCAGUCCAAGCUGAUGAUCAUGCAGGAAGCAAUAGUUUGAAAUCAAGGGAGUCCUCCGUUGCUAAAGAAGAAACCUCGAGACAAAAGAUUGUUAUUAAAGAGGAAAAGGCAGCUAUUGCAUCUAGGUAUAUGCAAGGUUUUUCAACAUUAAAUUCAAAAGCUAACUCACAAUUCUAGUGGAGGUGGGAAGCACAAUGAUAAUGAGAGUGGUGGUAAGAAGCAGGUUGGCAUGAUAAAAGGCAAACAGCAAGAGCUUAAUGGUCAGUGUUACAGGCAUGCUCGAUAACUCCUUCCCACAGCAGAGCUGGUGCACUUUCAUUAAAGCCAGAAGCAGUUGUAUCGAACAAUCCCUCCUUAAAAUUUAAGUGUAUAUAUUGCAUUCCACCUAUUGUUACCCUUAAAAUUUUUGGGGUCCUGCAAGAUAUGCUUUGAAGAAACACACCGCUAACAGACAAGUGUAUUGCUUCUCCCCAUCUUCUGAGCGUAUUCCAGAUUGUAUAGCCUCCUCAUUGUCAAGAGGCUGUGAAGGAGCUAUAUGAUAAAAUGCUGAAAUCUGGAAUGCUAAAUGAUGUAAAGGGGAAUGACACUUUUAGAGGUGAAUGACUUACCUUUGCAACUUGGUACAGCAGAUAUCGUUUUCAGUUCCAACUUCAAUGGGGACACAAGAGGCAUCUUGGAAUGUGCUGAAAUCGUGUUUUGCUUGUGGAAAGAUUGUUAGUUUGAUCUCUAAUUCAGUAACUGUUUUGUUCUGAAUUUUGAGGUGGAAGAAUCAAAUUGGAAGAGCAGAAAGAUGGAAAUGCAGCAGUACUGUGCACGUGAAUGGAAGUCCAUCUUAGGUGCAACAGCAGAUUCUGAAAAUUCUAAAGGCGGCUUUGACUGCAACAUCUGCUCAGAUUUUGCACACGAGCCAGUGGUCACCCUCUGUGGCCAUCUGUACUGCUGGCCUUGCAUCUACAAAUGGCUUCACGUCCAGAGCGCCUCCCUUGCGUCUGAUGAGUGCCCUCAGUGCCCUGUUUGCAAGAAACAAGAUGUAUUUGAAGUGGAAUGUGGCAAUGUGCAGUGAAUGUUUUGAGGCAAUCCACCCCAGUGGCUUUACACUACCACUUUAGGUUCAUUUUAUUUGUAUUGGUUUUGCUAUAAGCUUCAUUUGUGAUUGCUUCCACAGCAUUUGUUUGUAUACUGCUUAACUUUUUAUACAAGUGAAGGUUCUCUUAUGAAAUUGCAACAAGCAAAGAAUUAGACAUA
Rosa chinensis is the source of this 1801-nucleotide RNA transcript. It is a transcript of the gene named E3 ubiquitin-protein ligase RMA1H1, with no coding region annotated. The transcript is spliced from 6 exons. The record is from RefSeq and is a predicted model, not a curated record. Lineage: Eukaryota; Viridiplantae; Streptophyta; Magnoliopsida; Rosales; Rosaceae.